Molecule: long non-coding RNA, 5207 nt
Filed under: Homo sapiens (human)
Lineage: Eukaryota; Metazoa; Chordata; Mammalia; Primates; Hominidae
Description: HSALNT0363997
Source: RNAcentral
AUUUACAGAACAGCCACCUCUGUGCCACAAUGCUACUGGGACGCAGAGGUGAAGAGGUGCCACCACCGUCAAGAGGCCUUGGAGAAAGACCAUGGCACAUUAAAGAUAGUGUAGCUGAGGUUCAGGGAAGUAAAACAUCAAGGUCUGAUGACAACCAAGUAUUUCCGAAGUCCAAAAGACCAUACAAGGUCUGGAGAUCAUGCGGUGAGGAAGCCCACCCUCCAAAGAACUCACAACAAUGGGGAGUGGACCCACAGACAGUGCUAGACAGGCAACCUGUAAAUGCCAUCUAGGAGGACUCAAGAGCAGCCAGUGAAGAGACUCGUAUCCUUGUCCCUCGCCCUCUUGCUCAUUUUACACACUGGGCAACUGGGCACUGGAAUGACUGGAGACCAGAAGGGCCAGGGAAGAAAUAUCAGAGAGAGACUGUAUCUCCUCCCACCCCUACACUCUCCAAGGUGAAGAAUGGGGAAGAGGAGUAAAAAAAAUCAACCAGGCCAGGCGCGGCGGCUCACGCCUGUAAUCCCAGCACUUUGGGAGGCCAAGGCAGGCGGAUCACAUCAGGUCAGAAGUUCGAGACCAUCCUGGCCAACACGGUGAAACCGUGUCUCUACUAAAAGUACAAAAAUUAGCUGUGUGUGGUGGCACAUGCCUGUAAUCACAGCUACAAAGAAGGCUGAGGCAGGGGAAUCACUUGAACCCAGGGGGCAGAGGUUGCAGUGAGCUCAGAUCAUGCCACUGCAUUCCAGCCCGGGCAACAGCAAGUCUCCAUCUCAAAAACAAACCAACCAAGUCUACCUUUUCCCACUUCAUAUCCCAAUAGCCACAAGCCUGGUUAGAGUAACAGGAGUAAGUAAACCUUUCAAUUAGAUAUACUGAACUUUUCAAAUGGUCAACUUUCAGUAACCCAGUGUGACCAGGAGGUUGUGAACUCUGCCUAAGGUAUCAUCUGUCCUUGAGAGGAGAAGGGAGAUUUGGACAGAGCAGUUGGGAGUUCUGACUGGAGAAAAACACAAUUGUUCAUGUUUGCACCCCUCUAAGCGAAAACUAUUCAAUUAACAGGCUAAGGUUGCCAUUAUCUCUAUUUUACAGACUAGGAGAUUAAAGCUCAGAAAGAUUAAGAAACUUGCCCACACCCACAAAGCAUAUGGGAGGUUUAGUUUGGAUUCCAAUCCAGGACUAACCUCAGAGCUCAUGCUUUUUAUGAUUACAUGAGGAUUUUUCAAAAUAGCAUCCAACAUAUCCUUAGGGAUCUGCAAAGCCAGUACACAUUUCUUUUUUCAAUCUUGAGUUUUCAACUCAAGCAUUAUCUUCUUAAAAAAUAUAAGCAUAGUAUCGACUACCUGAAUCAUCUUGCAGGUGAAUGCUGAUCCUUGAUUGCCAGCAUUUGCAUUUAAAAUCUUACAGAUAUCAAGUAGUAAGUUCCUUAAUUUUCAUAUACUAAUGACUAAUCAGAAAGGACAGAGGUGACAGCUUAUAAAUAAUGUGGUCAUACCAAUUAAAAGCCAAUGCCUUGCUACACAAAGCAAAGUUUCACCGUAGUUCAAACAAAGAAAUGUGGUAGGAAAAAAGUAUGGGACACAGGACAGACAGGCAUCAAAGAAGUGCUAUAUUCACAUCUGAAUCACCAAUUUAGUUUCAGCAAAAUAUCUACUGUUGUUAACGUGAAUUAUAUGGAUUCUGAAGUUUUAAAUUGAAUUUGUAAAUUUGUUUUCAUAUAUAAUUGUGGGAGAGCUAUAAGAACAUGUUUACACCUCACAGUUUUUGUUUAUACAAAUUUUGGUAAAGAAAUAAUUAAAAUAAUUUAAUUCAACAGCAAGAACCAGUACAAAUAUAUGUUUAAAGUGUCCUUAUUACACAUGCUUGAGAAACUCUGUGGCCAUUAAAAACCUAUGUUGUAGAUGACUAUUUUGUGAUGCGGAAAUAUUUUUUCUUUUUUCUUUUUUUUGAGGCAGAGUUUCACUCUUGUUGUCCAGGCUGGAGUGCUCUCAGGUCACCGCAACCUCCGCCUCCCGGGUUCAAGCGAUUCUCCUGCCUCAGCCACCCGAGCAGCUGAGAUUACAGGCAUGUGCCACUGUGCCCGACUAAUCUUGUAUUUUUAGUAGAGAUGGGAUUUCUCUGUGUUGGUCAGGCUGCUCUCCAACUCCUGACCUCAGGUGAUCCACCCACCUCAGCCUCCCAAAGUGCUGAGAUCACAGGCGUGAGCCACUGCACCCGGCCAGGGAAAUAUUUUCAAUAUAUUAACUUAAAGCACACAAAGGGUGAAACAGCCUCACCUUCAUUUUGUAAAAUAUACAUAGCACAUAUAAAUACAGGAAAAAGAGACUAGGAAAUACUCUAAAAUAUUAAUGUUUAGGCUUGACAGGAGUAUUACAAGUGCUAUUUAUUAAUAUUAUUUUUGUGAUGUGUGUUUAUAAUUACUUUAUUGUGAAUAAAACAAGUAUUAACAAAAAAAUUCCAUGUUUAAUAGCGUAUACUAUGAAAGUUCCCAAAACCUGUUGCAAAACAAACAAACAAAAAAAACCCAAAACCAAAUCACAUUUUCAAUUCAAUUCCAGUUCAAACUCUUUUUUUCGCCAAGGCAAUAUAACCAAUCCUGAGUAAUAUUUGUUCAAAACUUAAAAGCAUAUAAAGCACUAAUGAACCAAUAACUUACUGUGCUUUAGGUACCAAGGCUACAAGAACAUGAACAAAGGGCAUGGUGCAUUGGAAAAGCUACCAUUUUAGGGGAAGCACAGCGUAAACCAACAGUUACUGAGUGGUACUAAGGCCUGACGGUGACACAGGUGAACUAGAGGAAGGAGCUUCAUAAUUCAUUCUGAUGAGGUGGAUGGUGCAGGAAAGACUGCCACAAGGUGGCAAGUGAAAUUAGUCCUAAGAACAUAUGAGGAAAUGAGGGCACAGAGGUGAAAUGGCAGAUUACCCACAAGUAAAAUCUAAACAUAGGUCUUAUGACACUAACCUCACUGACCACACUAGACCAAUCUCUUCCGGACUCCUAUGGCACUGGUCUUUGUCAUUUGUGUAGUAUGUACUGCCUGGCAGUACAUUCUACAUUCAAGCUGCUUCCCCACCAAGACUAUAAACUUUGAGGGGAAUACUAUGUACACUGUAGAUACUUAUGUACACUGUAGAUACUUACUAUCUGUUAAUGACAGUAUCUUCAAGUGGACCUCUAACAGGUUUUAGCCUCAAUAAGUUAUAGUCUCUGUUGGUAUCCAAAAAAGUAAAUCCAGGCACAGUGGUGCACCUAUAGUCCCAGCUAUUCAGGAGGCUAAGUGAGAGGAGCACUUGAGCUCAGGAGUUUGAGGCUGUAGUGUGCUAUGGUCCUGCCUGUGAAUAGCUACACACACACACACACACACAUCCCUGGCCUAUACUCAAUGUUUUCCUCUAGGAAAUUAUAUGAAAAGAUCAACAAACUCAUUUCAACAAUCCUCAUGAUACUAUACGUAAAACUUAGCACUUUCCCCUGCUCUUGCAAGUCAGCAGAACUCCAAUUGGCAUGUUCUUCCAAUGCACACUAAGGAAAGACACGCUGUCUACCCGAGAAAAUCUUCGCAGUGAACUGUGGUAAUAGUUAAUGACACCUAAAUGUUAUGGCUCAUGAACAUGGGUGAAACUCUCAGACAUGCCACCUAUAUGACAUGACAGGCCUGCACUGUAUACAACAGUGAAUAACUGGAAGUAACAAAUGUUUAACUGGGGGAAUGUGCACACAGGUGUGGUACAUUCACUUACGUGAUAUUUAUAAGACUUAUGUACAUGUCUAGUAUUUGCUUUAAAUAUUCCAGCAAAGAAACAGAAAAACAGAUAGAUGAAAUGUGAUGAAAUCUUGAUAAGAUUUGAAAUUGUGUGCAUCAGUAUUCUUUACUUUUGUGUAUGACUGAAAUUUUUCAUAAUUAAAAAUUGGAAAAAAUACUAUGUAGAUAUAAGUGAAAAAAUUCACAAUGUUAUAAUAAAAAAAAUAAAGUGAUAACUGAUGUUGGUUAUAACCAUGUAAAAAAUGAGCGUGUGGCCAAAAUAACAGCAAUAGCAAUUAGCACCCUUAGUGCCCAUCAUGGAUUUUGGCAUACCACUUUUACUAGAAGAAACCAGGACUCUGAGGAAAUGGCUAGCUAAUUCCAGGUCUGGGUCAGAAAAUGUACAAGAUAAACUUGGAACAUCUUGUCAUACCAGAGAACAAAGAAAUUAUCAAAGACUAGUAGGGUCAAGUCAAAAGGAUCCAGAAAUCAACUCGAAUAGGCUCCUGCUGGUUAAAGAUAGGACAAUCUGACUUUCAAUAAGGAUAACAACUCUAACAGAUUCAAAUGCAUGGAAUAUGUUUAAACAUGUGAGCUUAUAAUGAUACUAAAAAAUACCCUAAUUGAUCACUUUGAAGGAUCCUAAGGAACUCACUCACUACUCUGACAGCAAGUAAAUAAAUAAGAAGCCAGCAUAAAAAUGGGUUAGAGGGGUAAUUAGUUGUAAAGAAUAUCAGCGACUUCUGAAAUUACCUUGAUGAUAGCUGCUGCCUUACAAGUGGCAUCAAGCCUGCACCAAGCUGCUUACAGUCUCAAGCAAAGGGCUCAUAAUCUAGCAAAGGGAGACUGAUAGCCCAAUGUGAGAAUGGCGAAUUAGAGAUGAAAAAAGUGUCAUGGAAGCAAGCCCAGAAGGCGGCUCCCUUUGGAGGAUCCUGCAGGGUAGGCAAUCUGAGCUAACCUUUGAAGGGUUACCACUUACUGAGAAGUUUUUGCAUUUUAAACCAUUCUCAAACAUUGGCCCCAGGAUCUCACAUAUUGAUCUUUACAUCCCCCAGCACACACCUAUUUCCCAGCGACUGGCCAAAGUCAUAGCUUCAGACAAAUCCCUGUGUGGUUUAAUUUCCCUUCCAUGAGACUGGCAGAUCCUUGAGCUGUUCCUUUCAGGAAAAAUUAACUCCCUAAAAUUUGAUGUGCUACCCAGCUUGAGAAUUUCAGUUAUGUUCUGACAUUGUACAUUCCAGGUAUGGCUCAAAUUUGAAAGGGAUGUGAAGGCACCCAUGCUCAUGUUCAGAGUUCCUAUGAAUAGGUUAAUAAAUGUAAGUCAACAUCAUCCCUAUGCCACCUCCCCCAGUACUUAAUACUCUGGACUAGACACUGUGCUAAGAUUUUUUUCACAUGUUAUUCUGAUAAAUGUGCAAACCCAGUGAAAUAAGAAGCAUUAGUCUAAUUUUACAGACAAAGAAG